This 416-nucleotide ribosomal RNA is filed under the name uncultured bacterium. RNAcentral describes it as "bacterial SSU rRNA". It matches the Rfam family "Bacterial small subunit ribosomal RNA", at positions 506 to 920 of the family's 1533-position model. The record is from RNAcentral.
GGCCAGCAGCCGCGGUAAUACGUAGGGUGCGAGCGUUAAUCGGAAUUACUGGGCGUAAAGCGUGCGCAGGCGGUUUGACAAGUCUGAUGUGAAAGCCCCGGGCUCAACCUGGGAACUGCGUUGGAAACUGUCAGGCUAGAGUGUGUCAGAGGGAGGUAGAAUUCCACGUGUAGCAGUGAAAUGCGUAGAGAUGUGGAGGAAUACCGAUGGCGAAGGCAGCCUCCUGGGAUAACACUGACGCUCAUGCACGAAAGCGUGGGGAGCAAACAGGAUUAGAUACCCUGGUAGUCCACGCCCUAAACGAUGUCUACUAGUUGUUGGAGGAGUGAAAUCCUUCAGUAACGCAGCUAACGCGUGAAGUAGACCGCCUGGGGAGUACGGUCGCAAGAUUAAAACUUAAAGGAAUUGGCGGGGGA